Molecule: long non-coding RNA, 1973 nt
Filed under: Canis lupus familiaris (dog)
Lineage: Eukaryota; Metazoa; Chordata; Mammalia; Carnivora; Canidae
Description: lncRNA (ENSCAFG00030024403.1)
Source: RNAcentral
GAUGAACGCAGGGCUGGGAGCAAAGAAACCCAGGUUCUAGUGGGACCCUGCGUCACCGGCUCUCUGAGUCAUCCACCUGCCCUGUCGCAGUGGGUGGUGUUCUCUACCAGUGAGGUAAAGUUGGUCCCUCCUCUGCCUCUGCAUUUACUCUCCCUUCCCCGGCACACUCUCCCGUCCAGCCUGCCCAUUCAGCCAGCCAGCUCGAGAAGUUCAUUGCCACCAACACCGCCCCCUGCCCGCCCCCGGCCCCGCCACCGUGCUGAAACCCCCACCUUUGCUGUCACCUGCCUCACUCCCACCACCCACCCUCCUAGCAGGCCCUGCAGAGAGGAAGGCUGUGCUAACCAAGGAAAGGAAGGAGAACCCUGGGCUGUGCAAGUGGAGAAGGCUCCUGGCACUUCCUCUCCUCGGCGGCCUUGGGCCAUGAGCCCAUCUCUGGAGCGGUGGGCGCGCUUGUGGGCGUGUUUGUGCGUGUCCGGCCUGGCUGUUAGCCUGCCGGUUCCUGGAAGGCAGAGGACCAUUUGUCCUGGUCUCCCCUUGCCCCGACCUCCCCAACAGGGCCCAGGGUGGCGGUGGGCUCAGGCAGGUCCGUCAGGCUGGACAUUCUUGCAAAUUCGACAGCCUGAGUUGGACCAGAAGCCCAGUGUGGUGGACGAAGGCAGCUGGUCUGCAGACCAGACUUGGGGAGAGAAAAGAUCAGGCUUCUGUGGCUGAUAUGAUUUUAAAUCCUUAUUCGUAGGCAGGCCUACAAUCCUUUUUUUUUUUUUUUUUUUUUUUUUAGAGAUAUUAGCCACCCUGGCUGCCCUCACUUUUUUUUUUUUUUUUUUAAUUUCAGGAGAAAAAGCUUGAUAGAAUAAAUGUGAUGGUAAAUGAACCAGAAUCCUGAAGGCUUUCACUUCCACUCGUGCCUCUGUCUCACUGAGCACCUGUGAUGCAGUUGGAUCCGUGCGGCACCUGCAGGGAGAGGGGGGCCGGGAUUUGAUUCAGGAUUCUGCCGCAGAGGAAGGGCAGGUUCUGCGUGGUUGGAGGAAAAUCUCGAAGGGCUUCAUGGAGAAGGUGACACUUGAGCUGCACUCUGAAGGAAAGAUGUUUCUGAGGGAGAGAUGAGCACGUUCCAAGGCCCAGAGGUGGGAAUAGGCGGGUAGUUUUCAGACAAUAGUAAGUGGCACCCUUUGGCUUCGGACCCAAAUAUGGGCCAGUUCAGGGAGGCAUGAAACGGUGAAUUCGAAUGGGAGCACCUUGUGGCCACUCUGGGCUUCAGUCUUCUGUGACCUGCUGUGUGGCCUUGCUCUGUUCCCCUCUCCUCCGUGCUAGAGGGUGUGCAGGUGAUAGAACCAUAGACCCGAACCAUGGAGGCCAAGACAGAGAUGUGUGGCGCUCUCUCGACCCUGUCCACUGUGCCUGGGCGCAGACACUGGCCGUUGGCUCCUGGGGAGCUUUUGUGUUGUUAUGUUUGAGGGCGCAGUGUGAUGGGUGAGGGUGCAGGCCUAGAGCCAGACUACGCAGGUUCAAAUCCCAGCUCCGGGGGCACCUGGGUGGCUUAGCAGCUGAGCAUCUGCCUUCGGCUCAAGUCAUGGUCCCAGGGUCCUAGGAUCGAGUCCCACAUCAGGCUCCCUGCGUGGAGCCCACUUCUCCCUCCACCUGUGUCUCUGCCUCUCUCUGUGUGUCUCUCAUGAAUAAAUAAAUAAAGUCUUUAAAAAACAAACAAACAAACAAACAAACAAACAAACAAACACAAAUCCCAGCUGUGCCCCACACUAACUGAAUCCUGGUACAAUGUCCCUAAACUUUCUCCGCCAUGGGGAUAUCAUGAGCACUCACUUAUCAGGGUGCUGGUGUGGGGGUUCCGCGAGCUAGUACUAGGCACGGCCCCCUCACCCUGACCCCACCCCAGGGUGCCUCCAUACGGUGCUCGUGCCUCCAACCACUGCCUGUGGAUUGUUGCUUUAUCCAGUUUAACCGGCUCUCCCUAC